ACGACCUUACUUGAACAGGAUCUGUUCUAUAGGCUUGUACCACUGUAUCCUUGAGUUCUAAGGAGACAGGAAACCAAGUCUGGUUGAUGAGGCAUGGCCAUUAGACCAGAGCGUGAUUAAUAGCCCCCACGGCCUUCGGGUAAUGGUGCCGUAGAUGAUCGUUCUUAGCCCCCAAUUAUGGAUGCUAGGAUGGUCUAAUGGCUCUCUGACAGACU
This is a small nucleolar RNA of Nicotiana attenuata, 215 nucleotides long. It matches the Rfam family "Plant small nucleolar RNA U3". From Rfam's summary of the family: Small nucleolar RNAs (snoRNAs) are involved in the processing and modification of rRNA in the nucleolus. There are two main classes of snoRNAs: the box C/D class, and the box H/ACA class. NCBI's taxonomy places the organism in Eukaryota, Viridiplantae, Streptophyta, Magnoliopsida, Solanales, Solanaceae. The record is from Rfam.